Long non-coding RNA from Cavia porcellus (domestic guinea pig), 633 nucleotides. RefSeq lists it as uncharacterized. The record is from RefSeq and is a predicted model, not a curated record. Lineage: Eukaryota; Metazoa; Chordata; Mammalia; Rodentia; Caviidae. The transcript is spliced from 3 exons.
GGAGGCGUGGGUGGGGAAUGUGAGGAACUGUGGCCACUUUUUCCAGUUUUACUGUGAAAGGGAACAGGAUGCUCCUAAGGAUGGGUGGUGCAUACUGGAAAAGAUAAAGUUAAGAAGAAUUUCUUCUGUAGCCAUGGCAGGCUGUCACCUGCUUAUUUGCUGCUGUAGUUGUAAGUGAAAGAGGGAGUAAUUCUGCAGAAGGAUGGAGGCUCUCUGCGGAAGAGGAAUUUAGGAUCUUGGACGCUGAAAGAAGAACUGCGUCAACCUCAUCGUCUUCUUCAGGUUGCUUUUCUGGAACAGAACAGAUGAGGCUUCUGGUCCUGCUGGGAGCAGCACUGGGGAGCCGCAAGAGGCCAGCCUGCAGCCCCUGCUCACCGUAGCUUACGCUGAUCAUUUAUGACAACACCUGUUGGAUAAAAGGUGCCUGGAGAAAGGGGAGAGGUUUGCGGACAGAUACCUGGGAAGCACCCUCACCGUUUCCUGGCUUUACUCUGGUUUCAAUCCGUCCGUCCUCAGCAUUUAGGAAUUUGAAUUGCACAAGAUCAGCGUUGCCAAAGGGCUUUGGGCUGGUUAGGACUCCUGUACUCCAGUAGGAAACUUGCAAUUGCAGCACAUUAAAAUCCUCUCACUAAA